GAGCGCGUGUGGGAUGAAGGCCUUCGGGUUGUAAACACUGUCGGAGGGGAUGAAGUGUAGUGGGUCUCCCAUUAACUUGACUGAUCCUCGGAGGAAGGGUGGGCUAAGUUCGUGCCAGCAGCCGCGGUAAGACGUACCACCCAAACGUUAUUCGGAAUCACUGGGCUUAAAGAGUCCGUAGGCGGCUCGAAAAGUUGGAUGUGAAAUACCUCGGACUAACCGAGGAACUGCAUUCAAAACUACCGGGCUUGAGAGAGACAGAGGUAAGCGGAACUGCUGGUGGAGCGGUGAAAUGCGUUGAUAUCAUCAGGAACACCGGUGGCGACAGCGGCUUACUGGGUCUCUUCUGACGCUGAGGGACGACAGCUAGGGGAGCGAACGGGAUUAGAUACCCCGGUAGUCCUAGCCUUAAACGAUGAGCACUAGAUCGAGGGGACCUCCACAUCCUCUUGGUCGUAGGGAAACUGUUAAGUGCUCCGACUGGGGAGUAUGGUCGCAAGGCUGAAACUCACAGGAAUUGACGGGGGCUCACACAAGCGGUGGAGGAUGUGGCUUAAUUCGAGGAUACGCGAAGAACCUUAUCCUAGUCUU
Molecule: ribosomal RNA, 591 nt
Filed under: uncultured bacterium
Lineage: Bacteria
Description: bacterial SSU rRNA
Rfam family: Bacterial small subunit ribosomal RNA
Source: RNAcentral